AACCUCUGCAAUAGGCGAAAGCUUGACAGGGUUACUCUGAGUGAUUUCCGUUAAGGAGAUCUUUUGGCACCUUGGUGCAGAAUAAGGGGUGGCAAGCUGGUGUCAGCCGCCGCGGUAAUACCAGCACCCCGAGUGGUCGGGACGUUUAUUGGGCCUAAAGCAUCCGUAGCCGGUUCUACAAGUCUUCCGUUAAAUCCACCUGCUUAACAGAUGGGCUGCGGAAGAUACUAUAGAGCUAGGAGGCGGGAGAGGCAAGCGGUACUCGAUGGGUAGGGUAAAAAUCCGUUGAUCCAUUGAAGACCACCAGUGGCGAAGGCGGCUUGCCAGAACGCCUCGACGGUGAGGGGUGAAAGCGGGGGGAGCAAACCGGAUUAGAUACCCGGGUAGUCCCAGCUGUAAACGAUGCCCGCUAGGUGGUGAAUUGUCGUGGUGCCGUA
RNAcentral lists this ribosomal RNA (437 nucleotides) under uncultured archaeon. Its description in RNAcentral is "bacterial SSU rRNA". It matches the Rfam family "Archaeal small subunit ribosomal RNA", at positions 345 to 794 of the family's 1478-position model. The record is from RNAcentral.